Molecule: ribosomal RNA, 1296 nt
Filed under: Xylaria badia
Lineage: Eukaryota; Fungi; Ascomycota; Sordariomycetes; Xylariales; Xylariaceae
Description: LSU rRNA
Rfam family: Eukaryotic large subunit ribosomal RNA
Source: RNAcentral
UAGUAACGGCGAGUGAAGCGGCAACAGCUCAAAUUUGAAAUCUGGCCUUCGGGUCCGAGUUGUAAUUUGUAGAGGAUGCUUUUGGCGCGGUGCCUUCCGAGUUCCCUGGAACGGGACGCCUUAGAGGGUGAGAGCCCCGUACGGUUGGACACCAAGCCUCUGUAAAGCUCCUUCGACGAGUCGAGUAGUUUGGGAAUGCUGCUCUAAAUGGGAGGUAAAUUUCUUCUAAAGCUAAAUAUUGGCCAGAGACCGAUAGCGCACAAGUAGAGUGAUCGAAAGAUGAAAAGCACUUUGAAAAGAGGGUUAAAUAGCACGUGAAAUUGUUGAAAGGGAAGCGUUUGCGACCAGACCUUUUCCUGGCGGAUCAUCCGGUGUUCUCACCGGUGCACUUCGUCGGGUUGAGGCCAGCAUCGGUUUCUGUAGGGGGAUAAAAGCCCUGGGAACGUAGCUCCUCCGGGAGUGUUAUAGCCCUCUGCAUAAUACCCUUACGGGGACCGAGGACCGCGCUUCGGCAAGGAUGCUGGCAUAAUGGUCGUCAACGACCCGUCUUGAAACACGGACCAAGGAGUCGAACAUUUGUGCGAGUGUUUGGGUGUUAAACCCUCACGCGUAAUGAAAGUGAACGGAGGUGAGAGCCCUUAUGGGUGCAUCAUCGACCGAUCCUGAUGUCUUCGGAUGGAUUUGAGUAAGAGCAUAACUGUUCGGACCCGAAAGAUGGUGAACUAUGCGUGGAUAGGGUGAAGCCAGAGGAAACUCUGGUGGAGGCUCGCAGCGGUUCUGACGUGCAAAUCGAUCGUCAAAUCUGCGCAUGGGGGCGAAAGACUUAUCGAACCAUCUAGUAGCUGGUUACCGCCGAAGUUUCCCUCAGGAUAGCAGUGUUGUUCUUCAGUUUUAUGAGGUAAAGCGAAUGAUUAGGGACUCGGGGGCGCUUUUUAGCCUUCAUCCAUUCUCAAACUUUAAAUAUGUAAGAAGCCCUUGUUACUUAAUUGAACGUGGGCAUUCGAAUGUACCAACACUAGUGGGCCAUUUUUGGUAAGCAGAACUGGCGAUGCGGGAUGAACCGAACGCGGGGUUAAGGUGCCGGAGUGGACGCUCAUCAGACACCACAAAAGGUGUUAGCACAUUUAGACAAUAGGACGGUGGCCAUGGAAGUCGGAAUCCGCUAAGGACUGUGUAACAACUCACCUAUCGAAUGUGCUAGCCCUGAAAAUGGAUGGCGCUCAAGCGUCCCACCCAUACCUCGCCCUCAGGGUAGAAACGAUGCCCUGAGGAGUAGGCGGCCGUGGGGGUCAGUGA